AUUGAACGCUGGCGGCAUGCCUUACACAUGCAAGUCGAACGGCAGCACGGGAGCAAUCCUGGUGGCGAGUGGCGAACGGGUGAGUAAUAUAUCGGAACGUGCCCAGUCGUGGGGAUAACGUAGCGAAAGCUACGCUAAUACCGCAUACGAUCUAUGGAUGAAAGCGGGGGAUCGCAAGACCUCGCGCGAUUGGAGCGGCCGAUAUCAGAUUAGGUAGUUGGUGAGGUAAAGGCUCGCCAAGCCGACGAUCUGUAGCUGGUCUGAGAGGACGACCAGCCACACUGGGACUGAGACACGGCCCAGACUCCUACGGAGGCAGCAGUGGGAAUUUUGGACAAUGGGCGCAAGCCUGAUCCAGCAAUGCCGCGUGCAGGAUGAAGGCCUCGGUUGUAAC
This 394-nucleotide ribosomal RNA is filed under the name uncultured bacterium. RNAcentral describes it as "bacterial SSU rRNA". It matches the Rfam family "Bacterial small subunit ribosomal RNA", at positions 30 to 429 of the family's 1533-position model. The record is from RNAcentral.